CUGAUACACAGACACUAAAAAGGGAAAGGGUUUGGAUGAGAAGCUCUGCUAUGUAAUCAAGAAUCUCAGCCACUCAUUUCUGUAGGAGCUGCAGGAGCUCCCUGUAAAGAGAGGUUAUGGAGUCUGUAGCUUCAGGCAACCACUGAUCCACUUCCAGUGGCUAUCUGUGAGUUUUUAUUUCCAAAUACAUGAAAUCAUAGG
RNAcentral lists this long non-coding RNA (201 nucleotides) under Pongo abelii (Sumatran orangutan). RNAcentral's name for it is "lincRNA". The record is from RNAcentral. Lineage: Eukaryota; Metazoa; Chordata; Mammalia; Primates; Hominidae.